Molecule: microRNA precursor, 70 nt
Filed under: Strongylocentrotus purpuratus (purple sea urchin)
Lineage: Eukaryota; Metazoa; Echinodermata; Echinoidea; Camarodonta; Strongylocentrotidae
Description: Spu-Mir-184_pre stem-loop
Rfam family: mir-184 microRNA precursor family
Source: RNAcentral
CCUUAUCAUUCUCUUGCCCGGCCGAAUACUAUGUUAUUGAAAUUGCGCUGGACGGAGAACUGAUAAGGGC